This 24-nucleotide small RNA is filed under the name Brassica napus (rape). RNAcentral describes it as "PsRNA_45". Lineage: Eukaryota; Viridiplantae; Streptophyta; Magnoliopsida; Brassicales; Brassicaceae. The record is from RNAcentral.
ACAAAACAAAUAUGACAUGACAAC